AUAUAUUUAGUAUAAUAAUUACUUUUAUUUUCCAAAUAAAAAAUUUCUUUAAUUAAUGAAAAUAUAUA
This 68-nucleotide transfer RNA is filed under the name Psephenothrips eriobotryae. RNAcentral's name for it is "tRNA-Gly". Lineage: Eukaryota; Metazoa; Arthropoda; Insecta; Thysanoptera; Phlaeothripidae. The record is from RNAcentral.